This 67-nucleotide transfer RNA is filed under the name marine eukaryotic metagenome. It matches the Rfam family "tRNA", at positions 5 to 66 of the family's 71-position model. From Rfam's summary of the family: Transfer RNA (tRNA) molecules are approximately 80 nucleotides in length. Their secondary structure includes four short double-helical elements and three loops (D, anti-codon, and T loops). The record is from RNAcentral.
CCGUAGCUCAGUUGGUUAGAGCGCACGCCUGAUAAGCGUGAGGUCGGUGGUUCGAAUCCACCCGGGC